Oryza punctata is the source of this 206-nucleotide non-coding RNA. The record is from Rfam. NCBI's taxonomy places the organism in Eukaryota, Viridiplantae, Streptophyta, Magnoliopsida, Poales, Poaceae.
AAUAAGUGCAGUUUUACAUUAUUCAUGUCUAACGUUUGACCGUUCAUCUUAUUUUAAAAAUAUAUGAUUACUAUUUUUGUUGUUAUUAGAUGAUAAAAUAUGGAUAGUUCUUUAUAUAUCACUAACUUUUUUAGUUUUUUUCUUAAAUUUUUAAAAUAAGACGGACGGUCAAAUAUUGGACACGAAAACCCACGGCUACACUUAUU